This 29-nucleotide non-coding RNA is filed under the name Rattus norvegicus (Norway rat). The record is from RNAcentral. Lineage: Eukaryota; Metazoa; Chordata; Mammalia; Rodentia; Muridae.
UGGACAGAAAGGGAGAGCUUGCUUGUCUU